RNAcentral lists this small nuclear RNA (97 nucleotides) under Mustela putorius furo (domestic ferret). The record is from RNAcentral. Lineage: Eukaryota; Metazoa; Chordata; Mammalia; Carnivora; Mustelidae.
UAACUUGAGCAGCACAUAUUCUAAAAUUGGAAUGAUACAGAGAAGAUGAGCACAGCCCCACGGUGACACACAAAUUCAUGAAAUGCUCCAUAUAUUU